ACACGGCCAUAGAGCGACUCACUAAAGAGUGUGCUGCAACAAUGCAGGCGCUACUUCCAGAGGCACAGCCACAGUCGCCACCUAGAGAAGGUCUUUCAAGUCAGCAGGAAGAUGGUGGUCUCUGGGCCCUGCUGGACAGGCAUGUGGGGGUUCAACAGCAGGUGACCAGCACAACUGCCAGUGCAACAGUGGAGGUUCAGAGGUACUUAAAGGAACCUCACAUCCCAAGGACUCAGGACCCACUGAGAUACUGGGUUACCCACAAGGUUUUAUACCCACAUCUCUACAAGCUGGCAAUGAAGUUUUUAUGCACACCAGCUUCAUCUGUGCCUUGUGAGAGGAUCUUCUCCAAGGCUGGCGAAAUCGUCAGCCAAAGACGAAACAGGCUGAAGCCCAGCACAGUGGAGAAAAUUCUGUUUUUAAAUAAAAAUCUAUAACAUGUA
This is a non-coding RNA of Oryzias latipes (Japanese medaka), 443 nucleotides long. The record is from RefSeq and is a predicted model, not a curated record. NCBI's taxonomy places the organism in Eukaryota, Metazoa, Chordata, Actinopteri, Beloniformes, Adrianichthyidae.